This 505-nucleotide ribosomal RNA is filed under the name uncultured bacterium. RNAcentral describes it as "partial 16S ribosomal RNA". It matches the Rfam family "Bacterial small subunit ribosomal RNA", at positions 29 to 523 of the family's 1533-position model. The record is from RNAcentral.
AUUGAACGCUGGCGGCAGGCCUAACACCUGCAAGUCGAACGGUAGCACAGAGAGCUUGCUCUCGGGUGACGAGUGGCGGACGGGUGAGUAACGUCUGGGAAACUGCCCGAUGGAGGGGGAUAACUACUGGAAACGGUAGCUAAUACCGCAUAACGUCGCAAGACCAAAGAGGGGUACCUUCGGGCCUCUCACUAUCGGAUGAACCCAGAUGGGAUUAGCGAGUAGGCGGGGUAACGGCCCACCUAGGCGACGAUCCCUAGCUGGGCUGAGUGGAGGAGCGGCCACACUGGAACUGAGACACGGUCCAGACUCCGACGGGAGGCAGCAGUGGGGAAUAUUGGACAAUGGGGGGAACCCUGAUCCAGCCAUGCCGCGUGUGUGAAGAAGGCCUUAUGGUUGUAAAGCACUUUAAGCGAGGAGGAGGCUCUUUUGGUUAAUACCCAAGAUGAGUGGACGUUACUCGCAGAAUAAGCACCGGCUAACUCUGUGCCAGCCGCCGCCGUAA